Zalophus californianus (California sea lion) is the source of this 5189-nucleotide long non-coding RNA. RefSeq lists it as uncharacterized. Lineage: Eukaryota; Metazoa; Chordata; Mammalia; Carnivora; Otariidae. The transcript has 2 exons. The record is from RefSeq and is a predicted model, not a curated record.
UAGGAACUAGGAAUUUUAAUAAGGCUCGAGCUGCCGUUGUGAAACCAGCCAUCAGGGCUCCUGCCGGAGCGCUCCCUUUCUGCGCAGCGGCUCAGCUAACUAGCUGCUGCAGUUUAGCCACGGUGGUCCAGCGAGCUUUUUCAAGCCUGCAAGCUUCUAGGAAAUGCAAUAAAAUAGAGGGAUGUGUCUUAUCAUCAAGAUCUGAAGAGGAGCUGCAGAAGGGACGCUCUCCAUGCUCCCAGCUCGCGACAGCCUUCCAGAAAGAGCCGGCAGACAAUGCCAGCAAACCACGUCCCCGGGCAAAGAUAUCUCGGCCAUCCAGGCUGGACUGGGCUCUGCCUUUGCAAAAAGGCUGCCGGCGGAGGGGAGCGGCAUGAUGUCCCCAAGCAAACAAUGCCUUUAAAAAUCCGAUCUGGACAAAAGUCAGCCAAGGUCUUUAUUCACGUUAAUGAAGAUGGAAGGCACUAACUGUCCUUGGAAAGCGAUGAGUCAAACUUGACCACUCUUCAAACACAUCCCCAGAUUCGUUUCCAACCCGAACAGAGGCGCGUUUCUCCGACGCGGCCUCCGACUGCUCCCGCAGUGGGAGAGGCUGAACUUGAUUUCCUCGGACCAGGGCGGUGGAGACCGCAGCAUCUCCCAAGAGUGUGCGCGCCGGCGGUCGUCGCUAGGGGUCGCCGGCACCCCUACGUGCCUUUGCCAUCUUAAGUUUUGAACUCCGAGAAAAUAAAACUUUGCUUAAUAAGAAGCUAUUGUGGCCCAAAUUCUAUGAGGAUUACACCUGCCUGUCCAUAUGACCCCCACCCCCCACCCCUGACACACACACACACACACACACACACACACACACACACACACACACACACACACAAUUGAUCUCUCGCCAAGCCACCAAGCAGUUUGGAAGGAAGGGGAAGAGGGUGAUUUCAGAAUUCAAAUGUGAGCCUCGGGCUCUGCAAGUCUAGGGACUGGGACUUAAUCACCCAUUAACACAGGCACACCCCUCAAGAUCUGGGACCUCCACCCCUCAGCCCUGCGGUAGGCUUCCCGUAUCUGUCACUGAAAAUCUUAGGCCAUAUUUUCUAGAAUUCCUCCAAGACAUCUGGGGAGCUGUUUCCAGCUACGCUGACGUGAGACAUUAAAAUCGUGGGUCUCUCUUACUGCUGCUCCUUUCUCUUAGAUACUUCAAGGGAGCGGAGAUACACUCGCCUUUGACUUUAAGUCACUGACCUGGGAUUCAGAAGGUAAAAAUCUGGUCCCAGUUAGGGUGCUAACUCACCAGCAACAGGCCCCCCUCAUGAGGCCGCCUGUUUUUCUCAACUGUGAAGUUUUAUGUCCUAGAGCCUCCAAGCGUCCCUCCACUACCCACUUAACCCAGGGAGACGCUACAGUGACAGAAAGUGUGUUCAAAACGGGUUAUCUUACUAAGGUUCUCUUAGGGAGGCACAUGCCGGGAGGCUUCCGAAUUUUCAUCCACCUUACCAAAAUUUUGGAGGUCAGAUGUCAUCCUCAUUGGAUGUUGCCCUCCUCUGUCAGUCCUAGCACCUGGUAGGGAUACUUGGAGACCCGAAGGUAAGAGGGUCUGUCCACCGUCCUAGGCGCGCGGGGCGGGGGGGCGGGGGGGGGAACUCUGCUAGAACCUACCACUAGGUGGCAGACUCAGUCCGUUCGAAAAUCAUCGCGCAGCCACAGCCUUCCACAACAGACUGCCCCCCACUAUUUUUUUUUUUUUUUUGGAUCUGUUAGCGGGAGGAGGUUGCCUCUAUAAGCAACGCUGCAAAACAUUUAAUUUACUGGAUGUAAUUCCGUUCUUCCCGAUGCUCACUCCUCUAGUAACCACAACGCGGUCUCUGGAGCAGCGUUCAUGUAUUAUACGUUCAUUUUUCCAGCCCGAAAGGCUGAAUGUAUUAGAAGGGAAGGAAAGAGUACGCUUGUCUUUAAAAAGCAGAAUGGAACUCGAAGGUAUUAGCAGAGCUUCUUGCCAAACACUGGUCGACUAGAAAAGAAAGUCGGGAAUAAACUCGAGAGAGGGGCCCUGGAGGCCAAGGGCAGGGUUCCACCCAGGCUUACAGCGCUCGGUAAAGGCGGAGGGUGGGGAAAGGGGGGCUGAGUUUUGUCUUUGGCGGGGCUGCCGGUCACAGACUGGGAGGCGGGGAGAACUGCGAAGAGCCAUUCCUGGCUUCCAGUGGGGCGAAGAGAAAGGGGCCGGCUUCGCCACAACACAGCACCCUCGCUCGGAUCACUGCGGCGGCAUUCCCACUUGUUGCGCAGUGCAGGAAGCCGGCACGCGCCACACUACUUCGACUCCCAGAAGGCUCCAAACCCAGCUACGGACCAGCCUACCAUUGCCCCACGCCACAAACCUCCGUCCCCAACCCAGCCCCCAGUAGACACCACCAUCACCGCCAGCAAAACUACAGGACUUCCCAUCACUGGUUUGUUUUUACACCGAGACAUUCCUCCUUAUCUCAGUGUCAGACUGGCAACAGAAUUCAGGUGCUCUGAGAAGUCAAGUCCAAGGCGGAAGGAGGCUACCUCCGUCUGGAGAACUCACCUCACCUACUUCAAGCCAACUAGGCAACCCUCCCCGCCCGGGCGCGCGCGCGCGCGCGCACACACACACACACACACACACACACACACACACACACUCGAACUUCUUUGCCUCUUAUGACACUCUCCUAGCUGGAAAGCAACGCUUUUCCACCCCAUUUGAGAAAUCAACUACAAAGUCCUUUUUUUAAAGUUAGUUUUAUCUCCCCUUUCUAAAGAAAAAAAAUCCUCAUAAGGUCAUUUCACAAUGUUUUUCAAAUAUUUGACUUUUGCAAAUAGAGUUUCACCCACCAAGGGGUGGCGCUGCCGCACUACCUCCUCUGAAUCUCUUCAAGUUUUUCACAAUAAAGUGGGUUGUGAGGGUGGCUACCGGGCAGGGGAGAGAGGGAAGGAAGGAUUUUGACAUCUAGUCCUGGCUACCAUUUACUCAACCAAUAACUGGAACUCUUCAAGGCUCAGCAAACGACAGCUUAAGAGUUUAGAGUCCCAUCCCUGUCCAGCAAACCCAGAAUAAAUUGGAGAGUCUUUUCAAGAAAGCAUGGGGUAAAACCCUUCACAAUUGAGCACAGAAGAAAAGGCCAAUUGGAGAAUUCCCUCUUCUGGCUUCCUUCUCCUUCAAGCUGCCCAGUUUACCAACAGCUUCUGGCCUUAUUGUCCCUAUCAACAGACCCUUAAAAAUCAGCCAGUGCUUGGGCCUGCAGUAUUGGAAAGUCUUCCAAAUUGGAUAUUGGAAACUUCUAUUUAUAAGUGGGGGGAGGGGGAAUAUUUCCCAUCUACAGGUUUCUAUUUCAGCCUGAGGACCCAACCGGAGUCAUUUUAGCAAGGGAAUGCCCAUCUCCUGGCACCCUCUUUCCAUUUCCUCCUCCCCCCAGAGACAGUAUUCUUUCUCCUUACCCCCCCAAAAAGGUAUAUAUUUUAAAGCAAGAAUGUGAUUUCACCUCAUUCCUUUGAGCUCAUGUUUGCUACCUCCAGGAAUAGCGUGUGGACUAGGGCCAGAUGAACUUCAACUUGGGCUGCAGAUUUACGAGGCUCUGUUCCAGUGCCAAAGGCUUUUGGUAGUAAAUAGUGAGCAAAAUAGAUACCUGUCUCCUGACAGAUCUUGCCGGCCCCCCUCUUAUUUUUUUAAGUUAUUUAUUAAAACCACACACACCUUGCAAAGAAAAAGGGAAACUGGCAGUCUCUGUAGAGGAAGCUGGUGGCACUGCUCAGAGCCACAAACUGUAUUUCUAAACAGCCCUUUCCCUGGUUCCCUCUGUCCUGCCCCAGUUUUUUGGUUUUUUGGUUUUGUUUUGUUUUUGACAGAAAAAAAAAAAGCAUCUAUUGAUACUUUACUUAAAAAAAAAGUAAAGAGUUACAAGAUUUUCCUCCUGGAAACUAUAAACUGAAUGGGGAAAAAAAAAUCCGUAAAAGAUUAAAUCAGUUUCCUGUGGCUACUGGUGGUGGGGGAGAUGACCAGCUCUCUGUGGUGGUCAGGAACCCAGUAACAGCUCUGGACUUUCAGUACCCUAUUUGGGGUCUUUCUCCCGGUUCAGCUGCUGGACCCCCACCACCGCCUCUUAAGCAUUGCAAAGGGGUGCACCCAAUAAAAGGGUUCUUUUUCAUUCUUUUUUUUUUUAAUCUAUUGGGUUGUGUUUUUGUUUUCCAUGGGGGACCUUUAAAACUCAUUAUUAUAACACUAGAUCCAUUUUUCGCCAGAGUUCCAAUAACACGGCAUCAUAAAAGCAACGCAAUCCACAGUUCUCAAGACACUGACCACGGUCACUACCUCUCGCAGCGGGAUGGCCCCUAGCUCCCGCUGCCCAAGAGCGCAGCCCAUUUCCGAGGCUCCAACUCCCCACCGGCUCCCGCCCCGGGCCGCCGCCGCCGCCGCCUUCCCCCAUUCUUACUCCCUCGAGGAGAGCCACAGGUUGCAAAUCCAACCAACCUCGCAAUCCGUUUUUGCAAAAUCACUCACAAAGAUCUCCCUUUCGCGCCCGCGCCCCCUCCUCCCGCGCCGGGUCCCUCAUCCAGGGCGACAGCGUGCCCUUCUCUCCUCCCGGGUCUUGCACGUAGGAACGCGGGCUGGGGCUGUUUGUUUUUCCCCUCGCCCAGUGCAAGGACCUCGGGAACCUGAAGCCUGACGUCGGCUACUCUCCAGUCUGCAGUUGUCUUUUUACAAAGCUCGCACCAUGGGAAAAAAUAAGACAAAAUUUAGGAGAGGCGGGGGAACAGCCAUUGGGAGCUAACACCGAGUCACGCAGCGCCCAAAACACAAACACCGCGACCGCCAGAAAUCCCGCCACCUUCCCGCUUUGCUGGGCCGUCCUGUGAAGGUUCCCGGAGUCCCCGCAUGCUAAACGGCACCGCAGGUGCAAACGCGCACCCCUUUGCCACCCCCCCCCAAAUCCCUGUCCCGCCACCAGCCUCUCGCCUCAGGAUGGGGAGAGGGAGCGCGCGGGGGUUCCCGACUCCCUCGACUGCAACCAAGGAAGAAUAAUUUUCAAAGUAUUCAACAUCCCCGCCCCCAGGCAAGCUAAACCUCCCCCAAAACACAGGGUAAGGGGACACCAAAACACUCGGAUCUCGUUAGGAAGAUCGCGGCUCUAAAAGGAAAUAGUAGAAACGAUACUUCAACUGGGCUUAUCGGGGGGGGGGGG